AGAGUUUGAUCCUGGCUCAGAACGAACGCUGGCGGCAGGCUUAACACAUGCAAGUCGAGCGCCCCGCAAGGGGAGCGGCAGACGGGUGAGUAACGCGUGGGAAUCUACCUUUUGCUACGGAAUAACUCAGGGAAACUUGUGCUAAUACCGUAUGUGCCCUUCGGGGGAAAGAUUUAUCGGCAAAGGAUGAGCCCGCGUUGGAUUAGCUAGUUGGUGGGGUAAAGGCCCACCAAGGCGACGAUCCGUAGCUGGUCUGAGAGGACGACCAGCCACACUGGGACUGAGACACGGCCCAGACUCCUACGGGAGGCAGCAGUGGGGAAUUUUGGACAAUGGGGGCAACCCUGAUCCAGCAAUGCCGCGUGUGCGAAGAAGGCCUUCGGGUUGUAAAGCACUUUUGUCCGGGAAGAAAUCCCCUGCCCUAAUACGGCGGGGGGAUGACGGUACCGGAAGAAUAAGCACCGGCUAACUACGUGCCAGCAGCCGCGGUAAA
RNAcentral lists this ribosomal RNA (493 nucleotides) under uncultured Ochrobactrum sp. Its description in RNAcentral is "bacterial SSU rRNA". It matches the Rfam family "Bacterial small subunit ribosomal RNA", at positions 8 to 524 of the family's 1533-position model. The record is from RNAcentral. Lineage: Bacteria; Pseudomonadati; Pseudomonadota; Alphaproteobacteria; Hyphomicrobiales; Brucellaceae.